Molecule: long non-coding RNA, 24738 nt
Filed under: Manihot esculenta (cassava)
Lineage: Eukaryota; Viridiplantae; Streptophyta; Magnoliopsida; Malpighiales; Euphorbiaceae
Description: long non-coding RNA (MESC_LNC002336)
Source: RNAcentral
CUACCUAAUUUUGUGGUUUUAAUCAUGUUUUGCAAGUAUUAGGUGUGAAGAAACAAUUUGGAGAAAAUGCUCUUAAAAAUGCCAAAAGAAGCCAAAACUAGAGAAGCAACCUUCGGAGGCAACUUUCGGAAGCCAAAAAUCAGUCACCUUCGACGGCAACCUUCAGCGGCCGAAAGAGGACUCCAGAGACGAAAGUUGACCACCUUCGGCGGCACCUUUGGCCGCCGAACCUUGUGUCCAGAGCCGAAAGUCCAGCCUCCGAAACUCACUUUAGGCAGCCGAAAAUGCACUCCAAUGUACACUUUCCUUAUUCAAGAAGCCAUAUCCCAAGUUGCCAUAUUUGAGGAGCCAAACAAGGGAAGUGUUUUGAGAUCCAAAUCUUUAAGAUUCACAUUCAAAUAUUGGAUUUCAAGAUCAAGCUUAUUAAGGAAGCCAAAUCCAAAGAUCACCUGUUUCCCACUUAGUAUCAUGCACAUUCAAAAUUCAAAAGGAGGCUCCACCUUCCUUAUUAGUGCUUGGGCAGCCUCUUAACUCUUUAGGCAACAUCUUGAAGACCUUGGGCAGCAAUUAAAAAGACCAAAGAGCCCCCACUUGCCCCCCAUCACAUGCAUGUCGUUUUUGCCUUCACCCAUGCACAAAGAAGGCACAUAUGGGACCAAGGGCACUUUGGACAGCCUCAAAAAGACUCAUGGACUGCCACCAAACCCUAAGGAGCCUCUCAAGAUCUAUUUAAAUGCUUCAAGAAGACAAGAAGACAGAUUUGGUUCCACCUCUUUUCCAAGAAUUCGUCCAAGGCUCUUCUUCCCUUAGUUCUUCAUCUUCUUUCUUCUUUUCUUUAAUUUUCUGUUUUGGUUCAGCCAUGAGUGGCUGAAACCCUCUCUCUAGUUGAAGUUUGGUUGAAACUAAGGUUGUUUAAAGGGUUGUGAGAUCUGAAUAGAAACUUUUGUCUUUGAUUUCAUUCAAUAUUCAUGCAAUUGAUGCUUUGAUUCCAAGAUUGCUUUGUUGUUUUGAUCAAAUUGGCCACUUGAUUCUUGAUUGCAAAGUUAAUUGAUUGUUGGAUUAGGAUAUUUGUUAGUCCGUAUAUUGCUGGAAAUAUUCUGUCCAUAGAACACUUGGUGUAAAAACCCAAGAAAUUGUAUGAUCUAGCAACAUCUCAUGUGUUUGAGUAGCUAGGGUUUGGAUCUUUCUUGUUCUUCAUGCAAUUGGCAAUUGUUUUGAUGCCUUUGGCCCAAGGACGUUCCUUGGCAAUUUGUUGAUUAGUAAUUGGUUAGAGGACGUUCCCUAAUCAGUUUGUUCAUAAGGAAAGACAUGGUGGUGAGAAGCGUCUUCCACCCCCAUAACCAACCUAUUGAUUCAAUCAAGAUAACCAUGUUUCAAUGUUCAACCCAAACAACCAAAGUGGAUCCAUAUCUUCAACUAGACUUUUCUCAUAUUGAUUUCUCUCUUAUUUUAGAUUACUUGCUUUUUUAAGUGCCUUUAAUAGUUGUUAGUCAAAUCAUCUCAAAACCCCCCUUUUUACUUUCCUUGCACUUGUUUCUAUUUCUCUUUGAUUACUUGCUUUCACUUGCGCUUUCAAUUAGUUCUUUUGGUCUUGAUUGAGAUAAAUAAAUAGGUAAUCAAUUCUCUGUCGAUGCGAUCCUUCACCACUGUCUGCAGUUGUAAAUUGUAGGUAACCAAGAAGGUUAUUUUUGACCGGCUUCGACAACCGCUCCUGUCCAAAAUUGGCGCCGUUGCCGGGGAAUUGAUUUUACUUGUUUGUUUAUUUUUCUUUCAUGACCAGAUCUGAGCAUAGGGACACUCUGCCCUUUGAUCCAGAAAUUGAACGCACUCUCAGAAGGUUAGGAAAGCAAGCCGUAGAACAUUCUGCCCAACCUUCGGCCGCCGAACCAUCCCAACAUUCGGCCGCCGAAAGUCCUACACUCCAGCAACCAAGUUGCGCGCCAAUGGCAGAACCUCAAGCACCAGCUGCUGCCCAUAAUGGACAUGCUGUCCAAGGCCAGAUAAUUCAAGAAAAUCCAGCAAAUAGGCCACAAGCACAAAGGGAAAGAACCAUGAUGGAGUUAGCAACUCCUAUAGGUGAUUAUGUUCCACUUUGCAUCACCUAUCCACCUCUUACAGUUCCCUUUGAACUCAAGACAGGUUUGAUAAAUAUUCUUCCUAAGUUUAGAGGUAGAGAGAAUGAAAAUCCACAUAAGCACUUAAAAGAAUUUAAAAUUAUUUGCUCAUCCAUGAGACCUCAAGGGAUCUCUGAAGAUCAUGUUAAACUAAGAGCUUUCCCUUUUUCAUUAGAUGACCAUGCUAAGGAUUGGUUAUUUUAUUUGCCACCUGGAUCUAUAACUUCUUGGGAUGAUAUGGUCCAAGCCUUUUUGGACAAAUACUUCCCACCAUCUAAAUCAAUCGGCAUAAUAAGAGAAAUCACUAGCAUAAGACAAAGACCGACUGAGAACUUAUAUGAUUAUUGGAAAAGGUUUGAAAGACUAUGUACAGGUUGUCCACAACAUGAUAUGUCAGACAAAGCCCUCAUUCAGUUCUUCUAUGGAGGAUUGAUUCCAUCAGAAAGAAAACUCAUAAAUGUAGCCUGUGGAGGAUCUAUCCUAGACAAGUCACCAAGGGAGAUGAAAGAGUUGAUAUCUACUCUUGCAGCCUCAUCUAGGCAGUAUGGAGAAGAAAGGCAACUGCAAAGGGCCAAUGAGGUAAGUUUUCCCACUAUGUCUGAACUAACAUCUGUUAUGAAAAAUAUUGCUAUAGAAGUUGUGCAACAGAUUCAAGCAACGCAGCCUCCUAGGCCAUGUGGGAUCUGCUCAUAUGUAGGACACCCCACUGAUCAAUGUCCUACCCUCCAAGAAGACAAUCAACAAGUCAAUGCAAUUGGGAGGUACAACAACCAACCUCGAUAUGAUCCGUACUCCAAUAUAUACAAUCCAGGUUGGAGAGAUCACCCCAAUUUUAGCUAUGGGAAGCCCAAAAAUGAUCAGAAUUACCAAAAUUACCAAAGAAAUCAAGCCCAACCAGCACCUUCAAAUCCAAAUCAGAACCUUGAAAAGAUCAUGCAAACAAUGAUGGAAACAAUGGUCAAUACCAUGCAAGGCGUGCGACAAGAGAUAGGCCAACUGGAUGCAUCCAUCGGCAGAACUAAAUCCCAAGGUAAGCUCCCUUCUCAAACUGAAACCAACCCCAGACAGAAUGUUAGUGCUAUUAUUUUGAGAAGUGGCAAAGAGCUUCAACACACUAAUCAUGAGCAAGAAAAAGAGGAAGAACCAAGGCCCUUUGAAGCCUCUCCAUCUCAAUUAGAACCACCUCAUGUUCACAAGACUGAUCCAAAGGUAAGCUUUCACAUCCCACCUCCUUUUCCGAAAAGAUUUGAAAGAACGCAAAAAGAAAAAGAGGAAAAGGAGAUUCUUGAGACUUUCAGAAAAGUGGAGAUCAACAUACCACUACUAGACGCUGUCAAGCAAAUUCCUAGGUAUGCCAAAUUUUUGAAGGAGCUUUGCACCAAUAGAAGGAAGCUUGCUGAAAGAGAAAAAGUAAGUGUAGGUGAGGUAGUUACUGCUGUUAUUAAAAGAGAACUCCCUACCAAAUGCAAGGACAAAGGCAUGUUUGCUAUCUCUUGCAAAAUUGAGAAUAUUGGUAUCAAGAAAGCCAUGUGUGAUCUUGGUGCAUCUAUUAAUGUCAUGCCUCUCUCCAUCUAUAAAUCUCUCAAUGCAUGUGCACUAAAAGAAACAAGAGUUGUGAUACAAUUGGCUGAUAGAUCUGUGGUACACCCCAUAGGUGUUCUUGAAGAUGUCUUAGUCCAAGUAGAUGAACUUGUCUUUCCUACUGAUUUUUAUGUCAUUGAUACUAAGGAAGAUAGUUGCAAUACUAGUUCUGAUAUUCUUCUUGGACGUCCUUUCUUGAGUACUGCUAGAACUAAAAUUGAUGUGCAUGAUGGUACUCUUACCAUGGAAUUUGAAGGGGAAGUAAUUAAGUACAAUGUUUAUGAUGCCAUGAAAUAUCCUCAUGAUAUGUCCCUAGUUUAUGGUCUUGAUAUUAUUGAUUGUUUGAGCCAAGAUGUGUUUAAUGAAAAUCAAGAUUCUGUUUUAGAUGAUGAUCUUUGCAGGAUUGAAAACCUGAAACUGAAGGAAACAAUCUGCAGCAUUCAGCAGUUAGAAGUUGCGCAGACAGAAAACAUUCGGCCGCCGAACAUAGCCCACCUUCGGCCGCCGAAUCCUACUACCCCGUAGGAACCAGAUUUUGUUACACCGCUUGAGCCAAACAUUGCGCAGAAAGAAGACAUUUGGCCGCCCAACAUCUUUCGACCGCCGAACCCCACUGACUUGCGGAAGCCGAAUCCAUCACCAAAGCUCAUUCCGCAAACUGAAGAAAUUCGGCCGCCGAACUCAGACACUUUUCGGCCGCCAAACCUCUCCCAGCAGGCUCCAUCACAAGCAAGCUCUUCCAAACCACCUUCGCAACCUUCUGAUCUGAAGCCUCUCCCAGACCAUCUGAAAUACAUGUACUUGGGAGCGAAUAAGACACUACCAGUAAUAGUAUCCAAUGAAUUGAGCCAACAAGAAGAAGCAAGCCUCUUGAAGGUACUACAGAAACACAAAAGAGCCAAAGGAUAGACCAUUGAUGACAUCAAAGGUAUCUCUCCCUCCACCUGCAUGCAUAGAAUUCACAUGGAGGAUGAAUGCAAGCCAGUCAGAGAUGCUCAAAGAAGAUUGAAUCCACCUAUGAUGGAAGUAGUGAAAAAAGAGAUAGUCUGUAAUACCCGGCUAGUUCAGGCAUCAGAAUUCUUACCAUCCGGUGGAAUUCCGGAAUGUCAGAGGUUCUAGAAGGGUAAGAGUGAAGGUUUUCUAAAAGGGUUUUAAGUGGUUCAAAGGUUUGAUUCAGAAAAGAGUUAAGUUUUGAGGAGAAGUGGCCUAAGGAGUUUUUGUCAUGUUCGGCCCCCGAAUGGUAAGUUCGGCCGCCGAAAGUGCCCAAUGUUUGGCCCCCGAAGUUUAUGUUUGGCCCCCGAACGUUGCAUGGUUUUGCAUGCAGUUUCGACAGCCGAAGCUGAGGUGGUCGGUUAGUUGUGCACACUCCUCAGUCCGUGGUUUGGCCAGGUGUUCACCUCCAGAUCAUGACCAGAGGUUUGGCCACGUCUCCCUUGACUCAUCUGCACGCUUUAAUCAGCUUAUGCAGAGGGUUGGUCUUUUGCAAAGGGGUUGAACGUUUGUGAGAGAAAAGAAGAGUUGUGAGGGUUUGAAGCUUUGGAGGAGGAGUUGCUGAGUUGGCUGUUCCUCUUCUGUUUUCAAGAGGUAAGGGAAGUCUUUAAACUUGUUUUAAUGAUUUAUAACAGCUUUUAAAGAGGUUAAGGGGAGAGUUAUGUAUAUAGGGUUAGUUUUGAUGUUUUAAUGGUGUAAGUAUGUAUAUGUGUUAUGGUUGCUGUUUUGUUGGGGUUAGUAGGUAGUUUUGGACCCCUUGGUUCAUAUACCUGAGUAUAUGUGAGUGAAGGAGGAGGUAUGCAUGUAUGGAGUGGGGUUGGUGCUUGGCAGGCUUGUUCAUGCACGAAGCUGAGUUCUGGAUGAACUCAGGUUCGGCCGCCGAAGGGAGGAUUCGGCCGCCGAACCCCUUGUGGAGGCAGUUUCGGCUGCCUAAGGUUGCUUCCGAAAGAAUGGACUUUCGGCUCUGUCAUGCACAUUCGGCCGCCGAAGGUGCCGCCGAAGGUGCUCUGUCCAGCCUUGGACCCAGGCGACAUCAAUAGCCCGUCGAGGGAGUUUUGAAGUCAUGUCCAAUCAAUGAUGUGGAAUAUAUGAGAUGUGUUGCAUUUUCAUAAAAGAUGUGUAUGAAUGAACUAUUUUCAGUGUUUCUACUCACUGGGCUUUAGAAGCUCAUCCCUUUCCCUUAAUCCCAGUUUUGCAGGUUCAGUAUAGCAGGGAAAGUCAGCAACAGCAGAGUGGUGACUAGAAGACUGCAUGUGUAAUAGCCUAGUAUGGACAUGAUGUAAAUCAAAGAAAUAUAUGUAAAGGCAUGUAAUAGCUAGUAAGUCAGUAUGAUAUGGUUUAGACUGUGCUUUGCCUAGUGUUUGCUUAUCCCUUGUAUAUGCAUGUAUCCUGUUUUCAGUUUCUUGAUGAGAAAUGUGUCAAAACAGACUUAAUCAAUGUUGUGUUUCGAAAACCCAGUGAAGGAUAACUGUGAGGGAAGAUAGGGUUUCAUUCCCUUGACCCAAGACCAGUGCAAAGGAAAGACCAGGUUUGAUUCCUGUGAUCCACAGAGUAGACCACUAGAGAAAACCAGGUUUGAUUCCUGUGACUCUAUGGUAGCCAAGUUAACUUAUGAUAUGCUGACCCUUACGGAGUGGGUUCUAUGCUGCAGAGCGCAUAGGGUAUGGAGGUUACUUGGUAAAGCAUCACUGGUGUAUUAUAGAUAGCCCGAGGGCUAGUUCAGAUUAGUAUAUCUGAGCAUUUUGGUUCAUAUGAUUGGACCUACAGAGAGUGUUUUACAGGUUAAGUCUGGUUGUUUUACAGACAAGUUUUAACAGGUAAUAGUCCAGUCGGAUCAUGUAUGGGAUUUUAACAGGUACACAGAGUUUCAGGAUAGGCUUACUACGGGUCUAGGCGGCCUUAAGCCGAUCUGGAUCCUAGUGCCGAGCGGUUCGGACCGUUACAAGAGGGGUAUCGGUUUUUCGGGCUGUUACAUAGUCAAACUCCUUGAUGCAGGCAUCAUCUACCCAAUUUCUGAUAGCAAAUGGGUGAGUCCUGUACAUGUAGUUCCAAAGAAAACUGGAAUUACCAUUGUUCCAAAUGCUGAAGGAGAACUUGUUCGCACAAGAGUUCAAAAUGGAUGGAGAGUAUGCAUGGACUAUAGGAAGCUCAACGCUGCAACAAGGAAGGACCACUUCCCACUACCUUUCAUUGAUCAGAUGCUAGAAAGGCUUGCAGGUAAAUCUCACUAUUGUUGUCUUGAUGGUUAUUCAGGUUUUUACCAAAUUCCAGUUGCCCCAGAGGACCAAGAGAAAACCACCUUCACUUGUCCUUUUGGCACUUUUGCCUUUAGAAGAAUGCCAUUUGGACUAUGCAAUGCACCUGCCACUUUUCAACGGUGCAUGAUGAGCAUAUUUUCUGACUAUGUGGGUAAGACAAUUGAGGUAUUUAUGGAUGACUUCACAGUUCAUGGAAAUUCUUUUAAUGAAUGCCUUACCAAUUUAGAAAAAAUCUUGCAAAGAUGCAUUGAGACUAACCUUGUGCUUAAUUAUGAAAAAUGUCAUUUUAUGGUUAAUCAAGGUAUGGUCUUAGGUCAUGUUGUUUCAGCUAAGGGUACUGAAGUGGACAAAGCUAAGGUGGAUACCAUAAAAAAUCUGCCUUACCCUUCCAAUGUUAAGGACAUCCGCUCCUUCCUUGGACAUGCAGGAUUCUACAGAAGAUUCAUCAAAGAUUUCUCAAAAAUUACUUUGCCAUUGUGCAGAUUGCUCCAACAGGACGUAACAUUUGAUUUUGAUGCAGAUUGCAAAAAGGCAUUCAAUUUAAUUAAAGAAUUGCUUGUGACUGCCCCAAUUAUUCAAGGGCCUGACUGGAACUUACCAUUUGAAAUCAUGUGUGAUGCAAGCAACUAUGCAGUAGGAGCAGUCUUGGGGCAACGUGUGGGAAACUCACCCCAUGUCAUUCACUAUGCCUCUCGCACACUAGAUGCUGCACAAAGCAACUACACAACAACUGAAAAAGAACUCUUGGCAGUUGUAUUUGCUUUGGAGAAGUUCAGACCAUAUCUAUUGGGAACCAAAGUCAUUGUCUAUUCUGACCAUGCAGCCUUGCGAUACUUGAUCAAGAAAAAAGAAGCAAAACUAAGGCUCAUUAGGUGGAUCCUACUUCUACAAGAAUUUGAUCUAGAAAUAAGAGACAAGAAGGGCAAAGAGAAUCUUGUGGCAGACCACCUCAGCCGACUUCCAUAUAGUUCUACACCAUGCCCAGUCAAAGAAGAGUUCCCAGACGAACAUCUGUUCGUCACUCACUCUGCCUAGAUAGUCAUGCCAUGCACACCACACCCCAGGGAAGUACUCAGUUUCUUUUGUUCUCUUUUCUUCUCCUCUCCUCUUCUCUCUUCUUUUACAUUGAGGACAAUGCUUGAUCUAAGUGUGGGGGUGCAUAUCUCUCUCUUCUUCUUCUCAUUCUUCUCUUCUUCUCCUCUUCUCCCUUUCUCUUCUACGAUUUCUCAUGCCUUCAGAUUGCAAAAAAUUUUUCUUUUUCCUUUCAGUUUUAAGCUAAUUAGCCACAGUUGAAUUUUAAUUUGUUAAUGCUUUUAAUAAAACACACACAACCACAACCUUCUUCUUCUUUUUUUUUUUUCUUUUUUUUUUGCUCUACUCAAACUGAUGAACUAUGUUGAAUGAGCCUUUCUUUCCAUGACCCUAUUGAUGUGAAAACUCUUUAAACUUGUGUUGAAUCACUUGCAGUGGGUUAUAUUCAUGUUUGAGAAUUGCCUCUUGAAUGGAAUCUUUGAGUUUGCCAUGGUGAAAAAUGUAUUGAUGACCCUCAAUUGAUUGAGAAUAAAUUGAAGUUGUGUGAAUGAACUUAACAUGACUUGAUUUAGCAAUUGGUGUUGAUUUGCCCAAAUCAUUGAGAGAAAGAAAAUUCAGCAAAGGCAAAGACCUCAAAAGCACAAAUUGAAAAUUGUUCCAAUGGUCAAAAGACUAUGAACAAGGCUAGUAGCCACUUUGAUAGGUGACCAACUGAAAAAUAUAAACCAUGACAUCAAAAAUAGGUUGGUGACCUUUCCAAGCAUACCCAUGCAUACCCACAUGGAGCUGUAGACAUCCGAAGCAUAGAAACUGGAAAAAUCUUCAAGGUGAAUGGACAUCGUUUGAAACCAUACUUUGAAGGGUUCGCAGUACAAGUGGUGGAAGCAAUUCCACUACAACAUAAUUCUGCCUAAAGUGAUCAUGCCAAGCACACCACACCCUAGGGAAGUACUCAGUUUCUUUUGUUCUCUUCUCUCUUCUCUUCUCCUCUUCUCUCUUCUUUUACAUUGAGGACAAUGCAUAAUUUAAGAGUGGGGGUGCAUAUAGCUUCUCCCUUUUCUUUUUCUUUUCUCCCUCUUCUCUUCUUCUGCGAUUUCUCAUGCUUUCAGAUUGCAAAAUUUUUGUUUUUCCUUUCGGUUUUAAGUUCCUUAGCCACAGUUGAAUUUUAAUUUAUGCUUUCAAUAAAACACACACAACCACAACCUUCUUCUUCUUUUUGUUUUGCUCUACUCAAACUAAUGAACUAUGUUGGAUGAGUUUUUCUUCCCAUGACCCCAUUGAUGUGAAAACUCUUUAAACUUAUGUUGAAUCAAUUGCAGUGAGUUGUAUUCAUGUUUGAGAAUUACCUUUUAAAUUGAAUCUUUGAGUUUGCCAUGGUGAAAAAUAUAUUGAUGACCCUCAAUUGAUUGAGAAUAAAUUAAAAUUGUGUGAAUGAACCUAAUGUGACUUGAUUUAGCAAUUGGUGUUGAUUUGCCCAAAUCAUUGAGAGAAAGAAAAUUCAGCAAAGGCAAAGCCCUCAAAAGCACAAAACAAAAAAAAAAAUAUUCCAAUGGACAAAAAGAUUAUGAAAAGAGCUAGUAGCCACUUGGAAAGGUGAUCAACUGAGUAACUGGGGGUGGGUAUCACAAAUAUGUACCUUCACGUCAAAAGGUUGGUGAUCUUUUCAAGCAAAAUCAAAGUGCAAAAAAGCCUGAAUAAAGUACUUCAAGGUAAGAGCAAGUCAAUCCAAAAGCUAGAAAAAGUCUUAACAUAAUGUGCAUGUCUCUCUUGAGGAAAACAAAUCCUAGCUAUGGUAAGCAAAGGGAAACAAGGAAAGGAGGUAAGUAAUCUUCAUGCAUAUAUUCUUCACUGCAAUGAUUCAAAAUAGGUGUCUUGAGUAUGAGCUUAAGUGGAAAUAAGGAUCUAGAGCAAGGGAAGCUUAUUUGACUAUGUUUGUUUGCUUGAGGACAAGCAAAAGCUUAAGUGCGGGGGUAUUUGAUAGAGCAUAUUUUAGCCCAUAUUUUCAUGAUCUUAUUGAUGUUUAUUUUCACCUAUUCUACCUAAUUUUGUGGUUUUAAUCAUGUUUUGCAAGUAUUAGGUGUGAAGAAACAAUUUGGAGAAAAUGCUCUUAAAAAUGCCAAAAGAAGCCAAAACUAGAGAAGCAACAUUCGGAGGCAACUUUCAGAAGCCAAAAAUCAAUCACCUUCGGCGGCAACCUUCGGCGGCCGAAAGAGGACUCCAGAGACGAAAGUCGACCACCUUCGGCGGCACCUUCGGCCGUCGAACCUUGUGUCCAGAGCCGAAAGUCCAGCCUCCGAAACUCACUUUAGGCAGCCGAAAAUGCACUCCAAUACACACUUUCCUUAUUCAAAAAGCCAUAUCCCAAGUUGCCAUAUUUGAGGAGCCAAACAAGGGAAGUGUUUUGAGAUCCAAAUCUUCAAAAUUCACAUUCAAAUAUUGGAUUUCAAGAUCAAGCUUAUUAAGGAAGCCAAAUCCAAAGAUCACAUGUUUCCCACUUAGUAUCAUGCACAUUCAAAAUUCAAAAGGAGGCUCCACCUUCCUUAUUAGUGCAUGGAAAGCCUCUUAACUCUUUAGGCAACAUCUUGAAGACCUUGGGCAGCAAUUAAAAAGACCAAAUAGCCCCCACUUGCCCCCCAUCACAUGCAUCUCGUUUUUGCCUUCACCCAUGCACAAAGAAGGCACAUAUAGGACCAAGGGCACUUUGGACAGCCUCAAAAAGACUCAUGGACUGCCACCAAACCCUAAGGAGCAUCUCAAGAUCUAUUUAAAGGCUUCAAGAAGACAAGAAGACAGAUUUGGUUCCACCUCUUCUCCAAGAAUUCGUCCAAGGCUCUUCUUCCCUUAGUUCUUCAUCUUCUUUCUUCUUUUCUUUAAUUUUUUGUUUUGGUUCAGCCAUGAGUGGCUGAAACCCUCUCUCUAGUUGAAGUUUGGUUGAAACUAAGGUUGUUUAAAGGGUUGUGAGAUCUAAACAGAAACUUUUGUCUUUGAUUUCAUUCAAUAUUCAUGCAAUUGAUGCUUUGAUUCCAAGAUUGCUUUGUUGUUUUGAUCAAAUUGGCCACUUGAUUCUUGAUUGCAAAGUUAAUUGAUUGUUGGAUUAGGAUAUGUGUUAGUCCGUAAUUGCUGGAAAUAUUCUGUCCAUAGAACACUUGGUGUAAAAACCCAAGAAAUUGUAUGAUCUAGCAACAUCUCAUGCGUUUGAGUAGUUAGGGUUUGGAUCUUUCUUGUUCUUCAUACAAUUGACAAUUGUUUUGAUGCCUUUGGCCCAAGGAAGUUCCUUGGCAAUUUUUUGAUUAGUAAUUGGUUAGAGGACGUUCCCUAAUCAGUUUGUUCAUAAGGAAAGACAUGGUGGUGAGAAGCGUCUUCCACCCCCAUAACCAACCUAUUGAUUCAAUCAAGAUAACCAUGUUUCAAUGAUCAACCCAAACAACCAAAGUGGAUCCAUAUCUUCAACUAGACUUUUCUCAUAUUGAUUUCUCUCUUAUUUUAGAUUACUUGCUGUUUUAAUUGCUUUCAAUAGUUGUUAGUCAAAUCAUCUCAAAACCCCCCUUUUUACUUUCCUUGCACUUGUUUCUAUUUCUCUUUGAUUACUUGCUUUCACUUGCGCUUUCAAUUAGUUCUAUUGGUCUUGAUUGAGAUAAAUAAAUAGGUAAUCAAUUCUCUGUGGAUACGAUCCUUCACCACUGUCUGCAGUUGUAAAUUGUAGGUAACCAAGAAGGUUAUUUUUGACCGGCUUCGACAACCGCUCCUGUCAGCAGGUUAUGACAGGAAGUUCUUCCAGAACUUCUCUAGAGUUGCUGCUCCUAUGACCGGGUUGACCGAAGAGAAUCAGAUGUUAGUUUGGUCAGAACCAUGUGAAGGAAGCUUUGAAAAGCCAAAGAGAAGGUUGAGGUCAGCACCAGUUGUAAUACCCGGCUAGACUCCGAUAUCGGAAUUCCUAUCGUCCGGUGGAAUCUCGAGUGUCGGAGACCUCUAGAAGGGUAAAACCAUGUUUUUAUAAAGUGUUUUAACAUGUUUUAUGUUUUUAAGCAAGAAAGAAAUGAGUUUUUGCAUGAAAAUAGCCUUGGAGGAAAACUCAGGUUCGGCCACCGAAGCUCAAGCUCGGCCGCCGAACAUGCAUGCGCUUCAGGAGUGCUUUAGGCCCCCAAAAGCAUAAGUGAGGGAAGUCCAGGUUCGGCCGCCGAACCUCAUGUUUGGCCGCCGAACAUGGCAUGCAUGCGGAGGCACAGUCGGCUCCCGAAUGUGGCCUGGCCAGCCACCUAUAAAGGGGCCCCUUAGCCGAAAUGGGAGAGUUUUUCUCCCCAUUGUCGGCCAAGGUGAGCUCUCCGCCAUCCCUCGUCGAUUUUGAGUUCCUUCCUUCAGAUCUUUCACGAUUUUCACAAGUUUCCACUUUGUUUUGAAGAUUUUCGAGUACAAAGCAAGUUUUGGAGAUUUGAGGUUCAAGAAACCCAAUCUCUCCCAUCUCCGAGCUAGGGUCGUUUUCCUCUCGAUCUUCAAGAGGUAAGGGCCGAUCUUGAGCUCACUAUAUAUUUUAAGUAAGUUUUAAGUAGAUCUAUAGGGUAGAAAUGCAUGUUUAGGUUAUUGUUAGGUUUAUGGGUUUAUGUAUGUUUAUGAACAAUGUGAGUUGUUUGAUGUGUUGUAGUUGGGGUUUUUGAUGGUUUGAGGCCCCUAGGAGCUUGUAUGCUUGAGUAUGCAUGUUGUAGAAUAGGAAAAUGCAUGUUGAAAGGUUUGGGAGGCGUUUGUGCAAUAUUGAAGUUGAGUUUCUGCCACUUUGGAGAAACUCAGGUUCGGCUGCCGAACCCGCUUGUGGAGGUAGCCUUCGGCUGCCGAAGCCUGCCCCCGAAUGAGGACUUUCAUCUCUGUAGGGCAGUUUCGGCCACCGAAAGUGCCGCCGAACAUGCAUGAGUUUCGUCUCUGUCUGGGAGUUUCAGCCGCCGAAGGUGCCGCCGAACCUGCCUGACUUUCGGCUCUGGAGGGACUUUCGGCCGCCGAACCUGCCGCCGAAAGUGCCCUGUUCAGCCUUCAUUUGCAUGCUUUCCAUGGAUGUUUUGAGGUGUUUUAAGGGGGUUUUUGGGGAGUAUUUUAGAGUCAUUCUAGUAUGUUUGGUCCCUCAUUGCGUCCACCUGUGUAGGUUCGGACCCGAGGAACCGAGGACCCCAGCAGUGAGUCAGCUGCUUCAGUCUUUGUCAGAGCUAGCUGAGGUGAGUAGAAUGAACUCUUAUCUUUUAAAUAAAUGAAAAUCUUAGCAUGAAUCAUGCAUCACAGAUGCCAUGUGAUAUUUUAGGUUGUUUGCAUUAGAAAUCACGAAUAUGUUGCAUUGCAUAAUAUGUUAUUGAUGUGGAUGAAUGUUGGAUGAUCCUUUAGCCGCACUACGUUAUGAUAUGAUGUGGAAAGACCAGAUGUGGCCUGCACUACGCUCCUGGCACUAUGUAAGAGAAAGAUCGGAAGUGGCCUGCACUACGCCCCCGGCAUGAUUGGAUAUGUUAUGAUAUGUUAUGUAUAAGAGAAAGACCAGAUGUGGCCUGCACUACGCCCCUAGCACUAUUGGAUUCAGUAGUGGGCUAUUGGUGACAAGUUCAUCCUUGAUGUGAAUUGUUUGUGAUAUGUUGCAUUUCAUGAAAGCAUGAAAAAUAAAUUGAAUGUUAUAUUAUUCUGCUCACUGGGCUCUUGUAGCUCACCCCUUUCCCCUUAUCCCCCAGGUUUGCAGGUACAAGGUAGACCAGGAGGUCGGCAGGAGUAAAGUCUGAUUUCAUGUAAUAGUUAGAAGUUGUGGACAUGAUGAAAUUGUAAUGUAAUGUCUUAUGUAGUCAUGAUAUGUAAUAAUGAUAUUGAGGAUUAGAGGUUGUGCUUGACCCCAUGUGUAUGGUUAUCCCUUUUGAUACAUAAUCUAUAAAAUGUUUUUAUGAUGUUUAUGUUCAACCAAGCUUAAUGUAUGCAUGUUGGGUUACCCCAUUGGAGCAUUUGAUGAGAGCUCCAGUGUGUGGGUUAUGUUAUGUUAUGAGUAUAUACAGGUUGAGCUUGGUCUAUGGAAAGAAAAAGUUUAAAGGUUUUUGAGUAUGUAUGAUCAUGUAUGGGAUUUGACAGGUUCUCAGGUUAUAUGUCAGGCUUGCUACGGGUCCCGGCGGCCUUAAGCCGAUCUGGAUCCUAGCGCCGGUAGCGGUCCGGUUUUCGGGUCGUUACAGAGUGGUAUCAGAGCCCUAGGUUCAUAUGGUCGGACCUAGAGUGUCGGGCUCAUAGAAGUUACAGAAGGUCAAGCACAAUAGGAAAGAUCAUGUCCACUAGGAUAGGAUGUGGAGUCCUGUCUUGUAUUAUGAUGUGAAAUGCCAUGAUAAUAUGCAUGUGCAUUAAUGUUAUGAUUGUUAUGUGAUGUAUGUGAUGUGGGUUCAUGUGUUGACACAUGAACCAUUUGAUGCUAAUGUUUGUGUGAUUUGUGCUGUUUUUUCAGAAAACAGGAUGAGAGGAACUCGUCGAUCUACACGAUUGACUGGAGUACCACCUGAGGAUGAGGGCACGAGCGCCCGUCCUCCUGUAUUGCCUAGGGCAAUGUCUAGUAGGGCUAGCAGAGAAAGAGCAGUAAGAGACCCUAGAAGGUCUCUGGAUCUGGGUAGAAGCAGAUCAGUGAGGGGAACAGUUCAGGGAGGAAUGUCAGAGGACAUGGGGGAUGAUAUGGAUGUAGAGCAGAGGAGAGAUGGCAGUCUAGGAGUCAACAUGUCAGAAGAGGGAAUGGGAGAGUCCCAAGGAGGUACCCAGGCCUCGGGAUUUAUUCAGCCACCCCACUACCCACACUUCUCACAAAAUCCCGGGUAUUCGAUGGGAGGUACAUCGGAUUACCCUAGCUUUACUCCUUAUCCCACACACAUGCCAUACCCACCCUACUACCCACCAUACCCACAGUACCCAAUGUAUCCACCCCCACCCUACUAUCCAAAUCCAGCUAACCCUACCUUAGAAAAUGUUGCACCUCCUCCACCAUCAGCAGAACCCACAGUUUCAGCAACCCAUAUACCUAAGCCUAACUCAUCUGGUGGGAGCAAGGUCAAGAUGACCGACUACAUGAAGCUGGGUGCUCCCUAGUUUGAAACCGGUGAUGACCCGUUUGUGUACCUUGAGAGGGUCAAAACAAUUACAGAUGAGAUAGGAGCUGAUGACAGCAGAGCCAUUCAGAUGGCUGGGUUCACACUCAAAUGCAAAAAGGCCCGUGAGUGGUUUAAGAACUAUGUGAGCCCGAGGUUGGACAGCCUAUCAUGGGAGGAGUUUGCAAAUGAAUUUGCAGGAUGGGCUUUUCCUGACAGUUCAAGAGAAUUGAAGAUGAUUGAGUUUGAACAGUUAAGGCAGUAAGAGGAAAUGAGUGUAGAUGAGUACACCGACAGAUUCUUGGAGCUGUUGCCGUUUGCAGGGCAAACUCUUGACACAGACCAGAAGAAGUCAAGGAGGUAUAUCAUGAAACUUCACUCCAGGUAUUCCUCCUUGAUCCAGUCCGCAGAUAGGGAGAGCUUCCAUGCCAUAGUGGAUAUGGCUAGGAGGAUGGAGGCUAGUGCUAUCAUCGAGGGGAAAGUCAAGCAGUCAGUGGCACAGCCUUCUGGUUCUAAGACCCCAGGCUCUUCUUCAAUGAGUGCAGCAGCUUCAGGUAGUAAAAAGUGGGACAGAGGCCCCAGGAAGUCCAAGAAGAACAAGUUCUGGAACAAGGUUAAGUCCAGUCUGGGAUUUGGAGGUGGCUCAAGCUCUGGUGCGGAUAAUGCAGUUUGUGCAAGGUGUGGUAAGCCACACAAGGGAGUAUGUCGGUUUGGGACGACAGCCUGUUAUAGAUGUGGUCAGGAGGGGCAUAUGUCUCGAAAAUGUCCAAGAGCAGUCCCGAUGGCACAGUCCUAGUAGACAGCUUCUGGUAGUGUAUCGCAGCCAGCAGGUCCAGCCACGACUCAGGCUAGUGGCAGAGGUAGAGGGAGAGGGGCAGCCUCUUCGUCAGCGGGUUUCAGAGGUGAAGGUCCAUAAGCUCCAGCACGGAUCUUCACAAUGACACAGCAGGAGGCAUAUGCAUCUAACACCGUGGUGGCAGGUAACUUAGUCAUUAGUUGUUAAGAUGUGUAUGCCUUGAUGGACCCUGGUGCAUCUCAUUCUUUUAUUGCACCGAGAGCCGUUGAGAGGUUGGGGUUGAUGAGCUAUGGGUUAGAGUGUCCUCUCUGGGUCAGUGGACCCAAGUGUGAUCCAUCAGUGGCAGAGUCAGUCUGCCAGUGCAGUCCAGUCUUUGUUGAGGGAAGAUGCCUUUCCGCCGACCUUGUGGUUCUAGACUUGACAGAUUUCGACGUCAUUCUAGGGAUGGACUGGUUAUCUACCCAUGGUGCUACCUUGGACUGCAGGGACAAAGUAGUCAGGUUCAGAGGUCAGGAUGGAUCAGAGGUUGUCUUCAGGGGAGACAGGAGGGGUACACCUAGAGGUCUGAUAUCAGCUCUUCAGGCUCGUAGGUUGCUUAGGAAGGGAUGCCAGGGGUAUUUGGCUCAUGUGAGAGAGCUUAGCAGUCAGGUUAGAGAGUCCGCCUCAGUGCCAGUGGUCAGAGAGUUUUUAGAUGUCUUCCCAGACGAGCUGCCCGGUUUAUCACCUACUAGGGAGAUAGAGUUCGAGAUAGAACUGAUGCCUGGAACCCGACCGAUCUCUAUCCCUCCCUACAGGAUGGCACCAGCAGAAUUGAAAGAGUUGCAAGAGCAGUUGCAGGAGCUGGUAGACAAGGGCUUCAUCCGACCGAGUACCUCGCCUUGGGGUGCUUCAGUUUUGUUUGUGAAAAAGAAGGAUGGAUCCCUCAGACUUUGUAUCGACUACAGGCAGUUGAACAAAGUCACUACCAAGAAUAGGUACCCUUUGCCAAGGAUCGAUGAUCUAUUCGACCAGCUAGCAGGAGCGGGUUGUUUCUCCAAAAUAGAUAUGAGGUCCGGGUACCAUCAGCUGAGGAUAAGAGAGGAAGAUGUGUCAAAGACGACUUUCUGGACCAGAUAUGGGCAUUUUGAGUUCCUUGUGAUGCCGUUCGGGUUAACCAACGCCCCUGCAGCAUUCAUGGAUCUCAUGAACAGAGUGUUUAGCCAGUACCUGGAUCACUUUGUGAUUGUCUUCAUAGAUGAUAUCUUUGUGUAUUCCAGGAAUGCAGAGGAGCAUGCCCAUCAUCUAGGUUGGUUCUACAGACCUUGAGGGAGCACGGCUUGUAUGCCAAGUUCUCCAAGUGUGAGUUCUGGUUGAGGAGCAUCUCAUUCUUGGGGCAUGUUGUGUCAGAAAAUGGGAUAGAGGUGGACCCCAAGAAGAUAGAAGUUGUGGCUAACUGGCCUAGACCCACUUCAGUGUCAGAGAUCAGAAGUUUCUUGGGUUUGGCAGGUUACUACAGGAGGUUCGUCCAGGACUUCUUGAAAAUUGCAGCUCCUCUGACCAGGUUAACCAGGAAGAAUCAGAAGUUUGUGUGGAUCGACCAGUGCGAAGAGAGUUUUGAAGAGCUUAAGAAGAGAUUAACGUCAGCACCAGUGUUAGCUUUGCCAACUAGCAGUGAGGACUUCACAGUGUUCUGUGAUGCAUCCCGAGUGGGUUUGGGUUGUGUGCUAAUGCAGAAUGAAAGGGUGAUUGGUUAUGCUUCUAGACAGCUGAAGAAGCAUGAGUUGAAUUACCCCACACAUGACCUGGAGAUGGCAGCAGUUAUCUUUGCACUCAAGAUGUGGAGGCAUUACCUUUAUGGUGUUAAAUGUGAGAUCUUCACAGAUCAUAAAAGCCUGCAGUACAUCCUGAGUCAAAGAGAUUUGAACUUGAGACAGAGAAGAUGGGUAGAGCUGCUGAGUGACUAUGAUUGCAAGAUUCAGUAUCAUCCGGGUAAGGCGAAUGUUGUGGCAGACGCCCUAAGCCGGAAAUCACUAGGCAGUAUAUCCCACAUCACGGCAGAGAGGAGACCAGUGGUGAAGGAGUUUUACAAGCUCAUUGAUGAAGGUCUACAGUUGGAGUUGUCUGGUACAGGUGCCUUAGUUGCCCAGAUGAGAGUGGCACCCGUGUUUCUGGAGCAGGUGGCUCAGAAACAGCAUGAGGACCCAGAGUUAGUGAAGAUUGCCAGGACUGUUCAGUCAGGCAAAGAUAGUGAGUUCAGAUUCGACAACAAGGGGAUCCUCCGCUAUGGGAGUCGUUUGUGUGUACCAGAUGACAUAGGGCUAAAGGGAGACAUUAUGAGAGAGGCUCAUAAUGCAAGAUACAGCGUUCACCCUGGAGCCACCAAAAUGUACCAAGAUUUGAAGAAAGUUUAUUGGUGGCCAGCUAUAAAGAGAGAAGUGGCACAGUUUGUGUCAACCUGCGAAGUGUGUCAGAGGGUGAAGCUGGAACAUCAGAAGCAGGCUAGAAUGCUUAACCCGCUACCUAUUCCAGAGUGGAAAUGGGAGAAUAUAGCUAUGGACUUCGUAGUGGGGUUACCGGUGACGUCCAACAAAUUGGACUCCAUAUGGGUGAUUGUGGACAGACUCACCAAAUCUGCUCACUUCAUCCCUGUCAGGAGUGGCUAUUCUGUGGACAAGUUGGCGCAAGUGUAUGUUGAUGAGAUCGUCAGGCUACAUGGGGUUCCUGUUUCAAUAGUGUCCGAUAGAGGACCCCAGUUCACCUCCAGAUUUUGGCGGAGUCUGCAGAAUGCCAUGGGUACCAGGUUGGAUUUUAGUACUGCUUUCCAUCCGCAGACGGACGGACAGUCAGAAAGGACCAUCCAGACAAUAGAGGAUAUGCUCAGAAUGUGUGUGCUGGACUUUGGCGGUUCUUGGAGGCAGCAUCUACCUUUGGUGGAGUUUGCCUACAAUAACAGCCAUCAUGCUGGCAUCGGGAUGGCUCCAUAUGAAGCUUUGUAUGGGAGGAAGCCAUGUGUGAUCUUGGUGCAUCUAUUAAUGUCAUGCCUCUCUCCAUCUAUAAAUCUCUCAAUGCAUGUGCACUAAAAGAAACAAGAGUUGUGAUACAAUUGGCUGAUAGAUUUGUGGUACACCCCAUAGGUGUUCUUGAAGAUGUCUUAGUCCAAGUAGAUGAACUUGUCUUUCCUGCUGAUUUUUAUGUGAUUGAUACUAAGGAAGAUAGUUGCAAUACUAGUUCUGACAUUCUUCUUGGACGUCCUUUCUUGAGUACUGCUAGAACUAAAAUUGAUGUGCAUGAUGGUACUCUUACCAUGGAAUUUGAAGGGGAAGUAAUUAAGUACAAUGUCUAUGAUGCCAUGAAAUAUCCUCAUGAUAUGUCCCCUAUUUAUGGUUUUGAUAUUAUUGAUUGUUUGAGUCAAGAUGUGUUUAAUGAAAAUCAAGAUUCUGUUUUAGAUGAUGAUCUUUGCAGGAUUGAAGACCUGAAAGUAAAAGAAACAAUCUGCAGCAUUCAGCAAGUUGAGAUCAAGCAGACAGAAGACAUUCGGCCGCCGAACAUAGCCCACUUUCGGCCGCCGAACCCUACUACCCCGCAGGAACCAGAUUCUGUUACACCGCUUGAGCCAAACAUUGCGCAAAAAGAAGACGUCCUUCGGCCGCCGAACAUCUUCCGGCCGCCGAACCCCACUGACUUGCGGAAACCGAAUCCAUCGCCAAAGCUCAUUCCGCAAACUGAAGAAAUUCGGCCGCCGAACUCAGACACUUUUCGGCUGCCGAACCUCUCCCAGCAGGGUCCAUCACAAGCAAGCUCUUUCACCCCACCUUCUUUGCAGACAAGCUCAGAACAAUGCCUUCUUGAAUCUGAAGAAACCAAGGAAGACUUCCUUGAACAAAUCUUCCUUGCUCAGUCUGAUGAGCCAUGGUACGCCGAUAUGGUAAACUACUUGGCCACAGGUAACUUACCUUCUGAUAUGCCCAAGCACACUAAAGAUAAAAUAAAAAAGGAUGCCAAAUACUAUGUUUGGGAUGAGCCAUAUUUGUGGAAACAUUGUACUGACCAAAUGAUAAGGAAAUGCAUUCCUGAUCAAGAAAUAGCCUCUGUACUUACUUUUUGUCAUUCAUAUAGUUGUGGAGGACACUUUGGUCCAAGGAAAACUACUCACAAGAUACUUGAAAGUGGCCUAUUUUGGCCCACCAUGUUUCGAGAUGCUUUUCUAUUUUGCAAGACAUGUGCCAGGUGUCAACAGACCGAAAAUCUGAGCAAAAGAAAUCAAAUGCCACAGAACCCCAUCAUGGUCUGUGAGGUAUUUGAUAUUUGGGGCAUAGACUUCAUGGGACCAUUCCCACCAUCCUUUGGAUACACUUAUAUCAUCCUUGCAGUGGAUUAUGUAUCCAAGUUGGUGGAGGCUAGAGCAACUAAGACUGAUGAUGCCAAGGCAGUGGUAGACUUUGUGAAGACCAACAUCUUUGCCAGACAUGGAGUACCAAAAGCAAUCAUCAGUGAUAGAGGGACCCAUUUUUGCAAUAGGUUAGUGGAAAGCCUUCUCAGAAAAUACAAUGUCAUCCACAGAACAUCCAUAGCCUACCACCCUCAGACGAAUGGACAAGCUAAAGUGUCCAACAGAGAAAUCAAAGCCAUCCUUGAAAAGACAGUUUCUCUCAACCGAAAGGAUUGGAGCUUAAGAUUAGAGGAUGCCUUAUGGGCCUACAGAACAGCCUACAAGACUCCCAUAGGUAUGUCUCCUUAUAGACUUGUCUAUGGGAAAUCUUGUCACCUCCCAGUUGAGCUUGAGCACAAGGCAUAUUGGGCUGUAAAGAAUUGCAACAUGGACCUCAAAGAAGCCGGACACCAUCGCAAGUUACAACUGCAAGAGCUUGAGGAAAUAAGACGAGAUGCAUAUGAGAACUCUUGGAACUACAAAACAAAGACCAAAGCCUCCCAUGACAAUCAUCUUUCAAGAAAACAAUUUGAGGUUGGUGAUAAAGUCUUACUCUUUGACUCUCGUCUGAAACUGUUCCCAGGAAAGCUACGGUCUAGGUGGAUUAGACCAUUCAUUGUACAACAUGCAUACCCACAUGGAGCUGUAGACAUCCGAAGCAUAGAAACUGGAAAAAUCUUCAAGGUGAAUGGACAUCGUUUGAAACCAUACUUUGAAGGGUUCGUAGUACAAGUGGUGGAAGAAAUUCCACUACAACAUAAUUCUGCCUAAAGUGAUCAUGCCAAGCACACCACACCCCAGGGAAGUACUCAGUUUCUUUUGUUCUCUUCUCUCUUCUCUUCUCCUCUUCUCUCUUCUUUUACAUUGAGGACAAUGCAUAAUUUAAGAGUGGGGGUGCAUAUAGCUUCUUCCUUUUCUUUUUCUUUUCUCCCUCUUCUCUUCUUCUGUGAUUUCUCAUGCUUUCAGAUUGCAAAAUUUUUCUUUUUCCUUUCGGUUUUAAGUUCCUUAGCCACAAUUGAAUUUUAAUUUAUGCUUUCAAUAAAACACACACAACCACAACCUUCUUCUUCUUUUUGUUUUGCUCUACUCAAACUAAUGAACUAUGUUGGAUGAGUUUUUCUUCCCAUGACCCCAUUGAUGUGAAAACUCUUUAAACUUAUGUUGAAUCAAUUGCAGUGAGUUGUAUUCAUAUUUGAGAAUUACCUUUUAAAUUGAAUCUUUGAGUUUGCCAUGGUGAAAAAUAUAUUGAUGACCCUCAAUUGAUUGAGAAUAAAAUAAAAUUGUGUGAAUAAACCUAAUGUGACUUGAUUUAGCAAUUGGUGUUGAUUUGUCCAAAUCAUUGAGAGAAAGAAAAUUCAGCAAAGGCAAAGCCCUCAAAAGCACAAAACAAAAAAAAAAAUAUAUUCCAAUGGACAAAAAGAUUAUGAAAAGAGCUAGUAGCCACUUGGAAAGGUGAUCAACUGAGUAACUAGGGGUGGGUAUCACAAAUAUGUACCUUCACGUCAAAAGGUUGGUGAUCUUUUCAAGUAAAAUCAAAGUGCAAAAAAGCCUGAAUAAAGUACUUCAAGGUAAGGGCAAUGUAACAGCCCGGAAACCGGUACCCUCUUUGUAACGGUCCGAACCGUUCGGCACUAGGAUCCAGAUCGGCUUAAGGCCGCCUAGACCCGUAGUAAGCCUAUCCUGAACUCUGUGUAGCUGUUCAAUUCCCAUACAUGAUCCGACUGGACUAUUAACUGUUAAAACUUUGCUUUUAAACAACCAGACUUAACCUUUCAAAACACUCUCUAUAGGUCCAAUCAUAUGAACCAAAAUGCUCAGAUAUACUAAUCUGAACUAGCCCUCUGGCUAUCUAUAAUACACCAGUGAUGCUCUACCAAGUAACCUCCAUACCCUAUGCGCUCUGCAGCAUAGAACCCACUCUGUAAGGGUCAGCAUAUCAUAAGUUAACUUGGCUACCAUAGAGUCACAGGAAUCAAACCUGGUUUUCUCUAGUGGUCUACUCUGUGGAUCACAGGAAUCAAACCUGAUCUUUCCUUUGCACUGGUCUUGGGUCAAGGGAAUGAAACCCUCUCUUCCCUCACAGUUAUCUUUCACUGGGUUUUAAAACACAACAUUGAGUAAGUCUGGUUUGACACAGUUCUCCUCAAGAAACUGAAAACAGGAUACAUGCAUAUACAAGGGAUAAACAAACACUAGGCAAAGCACAUUCUAAACCAUAUCAUACUGACUUACUAGCUAUUACAUGCUUUACAUAUAUUUCUUUUAUUUACAUCAUGUCCAUACUAAGCUAUUACACAUGCAGUCUUCUAGUCACCACUCUGCUGUUGCUGACUUUCCCUGCUAUACUGAACCUGCAAAACUGGGAUUAAGGGAAAGGGAUGAGCUUCUAAAGCCCAGUGAGUAGAAACACUGAAAAUAGUUCAGUCAUACACAUCUUGUAUGAAAAUGCAACACAACUCAUACAUUUCACAUCAUUGAUUGGACAUGACUUCAAAACUCCCUCGACGGGCUAUUGAUGUCGCCUGGGUCCAAUCAUCUGGAAUUAGACAUGACCUCAAAACUCCCUCUAAGGGCUAUUGAUGUCGCCUUGGUCCAAUUCCCACUAUCAAUGAUUAAUGCAAUGCACCAUCUUUGUGAUUCUAAUGCAAUCACCCUAAUACAUAUCAUAACAUUCAUGAUGCAUGAACUAUGCUAAAAAGCAUUUUGUUUCUUUAAUAAAAAGAUUAAGUUUAGUUCUACUCACCUCUGCUCCUCAAGCAGAAACCUGACUGACGCUGCAACUGCUAAUCCUGACAACCUCCCUGAACUGUCGGGUCCAAGCCUACACAAAUGGACUCGAAUGAGGUGUCAAACAUACUCUUAUCAACUCUUAAACAAUCCCCUAUAAUCNNNNNNNNNNNNNNNNNNNNNNNNNNNNNNNNNNNNNNNNNNNNNNNNNNNNNNNNNNNNNNNNNNNNNNNNNNNNNNNNNNNNNNNNNNNNNNNNNNNNNNNNNNNNNNNNNNNNNNNNNNNNNNNNNNNNNNNNNNNNNNNNNNNNNNNNNNNNNNNNNNNNNNNNNNNNNNNNNNNNNNNNNNNNNNNNNNNNNNNNNNNNNNNNNNNNNNNNNNNNNNNNNNNNNNNNNNNNNNNNNNNNNNNNNNNNNNNNNNNNNNNNNNNNNNNNNNNNNNNNNNNNNNNNNNNNNNNNNNNNNNNNNNNNNNNNNNNNNNNNNNNNNNNNNNNNNNNNNNNNNNNNNNNNNNNNNNNNNNNNNNNNNNNNNNNNNNNNNNNNNNNNNNNNNNNNNNNNNNNNNNNNNNNNNNNNNNNNNNNNNNNNNNNNNNNNNNNNNNNNNNNNNNNNNNNNNNNNNNNNNNNNNNNNNNNNNNNNNNNNNNNNNNNNNNNNNNNNNNNNNNNNNNNNNNNNNNNNNNNNNNNNNNNNNNNNNNNNNNNNNNNNNNNNNNNNNNNNNNNNNNNNNNNNNNNNNNNNNNNNNNNNNNNNNNNNNNNNNNNNNNNNNNNNNNNNNNNNNNNNNNNNNNNNNNNNNNNNNNNNNNNNNNNNNNNNNNNNNNNNNNNNNNNNNNNNNNNNNNNNNNNNNNNNNNNNNNNNNNNNNNNNNNNNNNNNNNNNNNNNNNNNNNNNNNNNNNNNNNNNCCAGUUUCGCCUGCCGAACCUGCAUGCAAAACCAUGCAACGUUCGGGGGCCGAACAUAAACUUCGGGGGCCGAACAUUGGGCACUUUCGGCGGCCGAACUGACCAUUCGGGGGCCGAACAUGACAGAAACUCCUUAGGCCACUUCUCCUCCAAACUUAACUCUUUUCUGAAUCACACCUUAUAACCACUUAAAAACCUUUUAGAAAACCUUCACUCUUACCCUUCUAGAACCUCUGACAUUCUGGAAUUCCACCGGAUGGUAAGAAUUCUGAUGCCUGAACUAGCCGGGUAUUACAGGCAAGUCAAUCCAAAAGCUAGAAAAAGUCUUAACAUAAUGUGCAUGUCUCUCUUGAGGAAAACAAAUCCUAGCCAUGGUAAGCAAAGGGAAACAAGGAAAGGAGGUAAGUAAUCUUCAUGCAUAUAUUCUUCACUGCAAUGAUUCAAAAUAGGUGUCUUGAGUAUGAGUUUAAGUGGAAAUAAGGAUCUAGAGCAAGGGAAGCUUAUUUGACUAUGUUUGUUUGCUUGAGGACAAGCAAAAGCUUAAGUGUGGGGGUAUUUGAUAGAGCAUAUUUUACCCCAUAUUUUCAUGAUCUUAUUGAUGUUUAUUUGCACCUAUUCUACCUAAUUUUGUGGUUUUAAUUAUGUUUUGCAAGUAUUAGGUGUGAAGAAACAAUUUGGAGAAAAUGCUCUUAAAAAUGCCAAAAGAAGCCAAAACUAGAGAAGCAACCUUCGGAGGCAACUUUCGGAAGCCAAAAAUCAGUCACCUUCGGCGGCAACCUUCGGCGGCCAAAAGAGGACUCCAGAGACGAAAGUCGACCACCUUCGGCGGCACCUUCGGCCGCCGAACCUUGUGUCCAGAG